AUGACUUGUGAUAAAACUAUAUUAAUUUCAUCAUAAUCUACAUUAUAAAGAGUAAUAAAAAAGGAGAUUAUGAUAUAAU
Molecule: non-coding RNA, 79 nt
Submitted as: unclassified sequences
Source: Rfam